RNAcentral lists this ribosomal RNA (448 nucleotides) under uncultured Erysipelotrichales bacterium. RNAcentral describes it as "bacterial SSU rRNA". It matches the Rfam family "Bacterial small subunit ribosomal RNA", at positions 917 to 1370 of the family's 1533-position model. Lineage: Bacteria; Bacillati; Bacillota; Erysipelotrichia; Erysipelotrichales. The record is from RNAcentral.
GGGCCCGCACAAGCGGUGGAGUAUGUGGUUUAAUUCGAAGCAACGCGAAGAACCUUACCAGGCCUUGACAUCCCGAGCAAAGUUAUGGAGACAUAAUGGAGGUUAUCUCGGUGACAGGUGGUGCAUGGUUGUCGUCAGCUCGUGUCGUGAGAUGUUGGGUUAAGUCCCGCAACGAGCGCAACCCUUGUCUUUAGUUACUAACAUUUAGUUGAGGACUCUAGAGAGACUGCCGGUGAUAAACCGGAGGAAGGUGGGGAUGACGUCAAAUCAUCAUGCCCCUUAUGGCCUGGGCUACACACGUACUACAAUGGCAACUACAAAGAGCAGCGAACUCGCGAGAGCAAGCAAAUCUCAUAAAGGUUGUCUCAGUUCGGAUUGAAGUCUGCAACUCGACUUCAUGAAGUCGGAAUCGCUAGUAAUCGUAGAUCAGCAUGCUACGGUGAAUACG